UGGUUCUUCUGGCGUGGCUUGGAUUUGGGGGUUGCAGGCUUUGAACCAAAGUCAGCUCCCCUUGAAAGGAUUAGUGGUAACCAGAGUACCUUUGGGCGUGAUAAUUAUCUAUGCCUUGCUGUGUGCUGUGUGUGAGCUGCUUCCAACCGAGUGUUGACAAAUUUGACCUCAAAUCAGGUAGGACUACCCGCUGAACUUAA
This 200-nucleotide unclassified non-coding RNA is filed under the name soil metagenome. RNAcentral describes it as "partial contains internal transcribed spacer 2 and large subunit ribosomal RNA". The record is from RNAcentral.